Molecule: ribosomal RNA, 454 nt
Filed under: uncultured bacterium
Lineage: Bacteria
Description: bacterial SSU rRNA
Rfam family: Bacterial small subunit ribosomal RNA
Source: RNAcentral
UGAACGCUGGCGGCGUGCUUAACACAUGCAAGUCGAACGAUGAAGCCUAGCUUGCUAGGUGGAUUAGUGGCGCACGGGUGAGUAAUAUAUAGAUAAUGUGCCUCUUAGUCUGGGAUAGCCAUUGGAAACGAUGAUUAAUACUAGAUACUCCUUCUAAACCUAAGUUUAGUCGGGAAAGUUUUUCGCUAAGAGAUCAGUCUAUAUCCCAUCAGUUAGUUGGUAAGGUAACGGCUUACCAAGGCAAUGACGGGUAGCGGGUUUGAGAGGAUGAUCCGCCACACUGGUACUGAGACACGGACCAGACUCCUACGGGAGGCAGCAGUGAGGAAUAUUGCACAAUGGGGGAAACCCUGAUGCAGCAACGCCGCGUGGAGGAUGACGCAUUUCGGUGUGUAAACUCCUUUUAUGAGUCAAGAAAAUGACGGUAGCUCAUGAAUAAGCACCGGCUAACUCC